UCUCCGUAGGUGAACCUGCGGAGGGAUCAUUACAGAGUUCUCGCCCUCGCGGGUAGAUCUCCCACCCACUGUUAUCGUUACUGUGUUGCUUUGGCGGGCCGCCGGGCCCCGCUCGGCCGCCGGCUCCGGCUGGCGCGCGCCCGCCAGAGGCCCAGCAAACUCUGUAUGUUAGUGUCGUCUGAGUACUAUAUAAUAGUUAAAACUUUCAACAACGGAUCUCUUGGUUCUG
RNAcentral lists this unclassified non-coding RNA (229 nucleotides) under plant metagenome. RNAcentral's name for it is "partial contains small subunit ribosomal RNA, internal transcribed spacer 1, and 5.8S ribosomal RNA". The record is from RNAcentral.